UGGUGAGAACCCUAUGAGGGAGUGAAG
This 27-nucleotide non-coding RNA is filed under the name Homo sapiens (human). Lineage: Eukaryota; Metazoa; Chordata; Mammalia; Primates; Hominidae. The record is from RNAcentral.